Erinaceus europaeus (western European hedgehog) is the source of this 509-nucleotide long non-coding RNA. RefSeq lists it as uncharacterized. The transcript is spliced from 3 exons. NCBI's taxonomy places the organism in Eukaryota, Metazoa, Chordata, Mammalia, Eulipotyphla, Erinaceidae. The record is from RefSeq and is a predicted model, not a curated record.
GAUAAAGCAGACAAUUUAAAAGUGACUCAGGUGACUUGCUUUUUUUUUUUUUUGCCUCCAGGAAUAGCACUGGGGCUUGGUGCUUAUACUACGAAUCCACAGCUUCUGGUGGACAUUUUUUUAAUUGGAUAGGAUACAAAGAAAUUGAGAGAGGAGAGGGAGAGAGAAAAAUAGAAACCUGAAGACCUGCUUCUCCACUUGUGAAGCAUUCCCCGUGCAGGUGGAGAGCCAGGGGCUUGAAGACAGAUCCCUAUGCAGAGCUUGAAGGAGUCAUGUUAAUGAGAUAAACCAGAAAGAGAAGGAUGAAUAUUGGAUGAUCUCACUCAUGUGCAGAAGUUGAGAAACAAGAACAGAAUGUUGUCAUGGAGCUUGGUUCCAGCACUACAAAUCCACCAUUCCAUGGUCCAGGAGGUGGCACAGUGGAUAAAAACACUGGACUCUCAAGCAUGAGGUCCUGAGUUCAAAUCCCAACAGCAUAUGUACCAAAGUGAUGUCUGAUUCUUUAUCUC